Molecule: long non-coding RNA, 915 nt
Organism: Lingula anatina
Lineage: Eukaryota; Metazoa; Brachiopoda; Lingulata; Lingulida; Lingulidae
Source: RefSeq, a predicted model, not a curated record
UCUGAGUUUUAGAUAUGAGAACUAUAGAUAUGUUCUUUAUGCAUCUGCAUGCAGCUCUUAGAUUGCAAAUCCCACAUACUAGAAAUUCGUGUAUUUUCUUCAAACGAAUCGUUGAUACUUGUACAAAAAUAAAAUGAAUUACAAAGGUAUAUAAAGUUACAUGCACGAGUAGGUUCAUUCAAUAAUGAUUAAUUUGUGACAAUGAUAAGAAAAAUUAAAGUUGAAAAUUUUUCAAAAUUGUAAAAAGCAAUAUGAUAAAAGCUUUUAAAACAUCGCAUAGUGUACUAGCAUAUCGAAAAGUAUGACAUUAGCCUUUGGAGUGUAUGUAGACACAUGUUAAAUCUGUCUCACAUUUACCUAGAGACAACUAGUAUUGCUACUUUUUGAUGACACAAAUGAAGACGACGACUACUUCAGCAAAGUAGGUAAUUUUAUGUUUUUUAGAUGCUCUUCCCAUAUUGUUGUAGAUCCAUGAGUGAAAUUCCUAUCCCAACUCUCUCUUUCUCUCUCUCUCUCUCUCUCUCUCUCACACACACACACACACACACACACACACACACACACACACCUUUAUACUGAGCUCGUGAAUCCGAAGUGACAUGGCAUACACAAAUCUUGUUUUCUACCUCAGCAUUGCUUAAUCGAUAUUUUUUCCCGUGACAUGCCAUUGGCUGGUUCUCGUUAUGUCAAGAGGGUAUCCUUUAUUUCUUUACUGUAUUUCCCUCUUAUCUUAUGCAAACAAAACCUUUAAUAUCAGGUAGUUAAUCAUGCUUUAUGUUCACAUUUUAUGGAGUUUUGAUUGAAUCCGAAUAGAUCUGCCAGACACACUCACUACAGCUAGAGGGCGGUGCGUGGUGUUUCCACAGUCUCACACGGGUGGCGUAUAUCCUGGAAAUGCAGAAAAUGAAAAAAAAA